RNAcentral lists this microRNA precursor (65 nucleotides) under Aotus nancymaae (Ma's night monkey). RNAcentral's name for it is "miRNA (ENSANAG00000015371.1)". The record is from RNAcentral. Lineage: Eukaryota; Metazoa; Chordata; Mammalia; Primates; Aotidae.
GUGCAAAGGUAAUUGCAGUUUUUGCCAUUAAAAGUAAUGGCAAAAACUGCAAUUACCUUUACACC